AAAAAGCUUCAAACUGGGAUUAGAUACCCCACUAUGCCUAGCCAUAAACAUUGAUAGUUAACUACACCCACUAUCCGCCCGGGGACUACGAGCACCAGCUUGAAACCCAAAGGACUUGGCGGUGCUUUAGAUCCACCUAGAGGAGCCUGUUCUAGAACCGAUUACCCCCGUUCAACCUCACCUUUCCUUGUUUAUCCCGCCUAUAUACCACCGUCGUCAGCUUACCCUGUGAAGGACUAAUAGUAAGCAAGAUUGGCACAGCCCAAAACGUCAGGUCGAGGUGUAGCGUAUGGAAAGGGAAGAAAUGGGCUACAUUCACUAGUAAAGUGAAACACGAACGAUACACUGAAAUACGUAUCUGAAGGAGGAUUUAGCAGUAAGCAGAAAAUAGAGCGUUCCGCUGAAACUGGCCCUGAAGCGCGCACACACCGCCCGUCACCCUCUGCAGUCA
Molecule: ribosomal RNA, 451 nt
Filed under: Lutjanus russellii (Russell's snapper)
Lineage: Eukaryota; Metazoa; Chordata; Actinopteri; Lutjaniformes; Lutjanidae
Description: partial 12S ribosomal RNA
Rfam family: Bacterial small subunit ribosomal RNA
Source: RNAcentral